This 253-nucleotide ribosomal RNA is filed under the name uncultured bacterium. RNAcentral's name for it is "partial 16S ribosomal RNA". It matches the Rfam family "Bacterial small subunit ribosomal RNA", at positions 524 to 776 of the family's 1533-position model. The record is from RNAcentral.
UACGUAAGGUGCAAGCGUUAAUCGGAAUUACUGGGCGUAAAGCGUGCGCAGGCGGUUUCAUAAAACAGAUGUGAAAUCCCCGGGCUCAACCUGGGAACUGCAUUUGCGACUGUGAGGCUAGAGUACGGUAGAGGGGGAUGGAAUUCCGCGUGUAGCAGUGAAAUGCGUAGAUAUGCGGAGGAACACCAAUGGCGAAGGCAAUCCCCUGGACCUGUACUGACGCUCAUGCACGAAAGCGUGGGGAGCAAACAGG